This 460-nucleotide ribosomal RNA is filed under the name uncultured bacterium. Its description in RNAcentral is "partial 16S ribosomal RNA". It matches the Rfam family "Bacterial small subunit ribosomal RNA", at positions 338 to 795 of the family's 1533-position model. The record is from RNAcentral.
CCUACGGGAGGCAGCAGUGAGGAAUAUUGGUCAAUGGCCGUAAGGCUGAACCAGCCAAGUCGCGUGAAGGAAGAAGGAUCUAUGGUUUGUAAACUUCUUUUAUAGGGGAAUAAAGGUAUCCACGUGUGGAUAUUUGCAUGUACCCUAUGAAUAAGCAUCGGCUAACUCCGUGCCAGCAGCCGCGGUAAUACGGAGGAUGCGAGCGUUAUCCGGAUUUAUUGGGUUUAAAGGGUGCGUAGGUUGUUUUUUAAGUCAGCGGUGAAAGUUUGUGGCUCAACCAUAAAAUUGCCGUUGAUACUGGAAGACGUGAGUGUGUUUGAGGUAGGCGGAAUGCGUGGUGUAGCGGUGAAAUGCAUAGAUAUCACGCAGAACUCCGAUUGCGAAGGCAGCUUACUAAGCCAUAACUGACACUGAAGCACGAAAGCGUGGGGAUCAAACAGGAUUAGAUACCCCUGUAGUC